Molecule: ribosomal RNA, 426 nt
Filed under: uncultured bacterium
Lineage: Bacteria
Description: bacterial SSU rRNA
Rfam family: Bacterial small subunit ribosomal RNA
Source: RNAcentral
UGGGGAAUAUUGGGCAAUGGGGGAAACCCUGACCCAGCCAUGCCGCGUGAGUGAUGAAGGCCUUCGGGUCGUAAAGCUCUGUGGGGAGGGAAAAAGCGAUGUCCCGUGAACAAUGGGGUGUUGUGAUGGUACCUCCUUAGCCAGCACCGGCUAACUCUGUGCCAGCAGCCGCGGUAAUACAGAGGGGGCAAGCGUUGUUCGGAAUUACUGGGCGUAAAGGGCGCGUAGGCGGCCUCUUAAGUCGAACGUGAAAUCCCCGGGCUCAACCCGGGAACUGCGUCCGAUACUGGGAGGCUUGAAUCCGGGAGAGGGAUGUGGAAUUCCAGGUGUAGCGGUGAAAUGCGUAGAUAUCUGGAGGAACACCGGUGGCGAAGGCGGCAUCCUGGACCGGUAUUGACGCUGAGGCGCGAAAGCUAGGGGAGCAAA